RNAcentral lists this small RNA (1454 nucleotides) under Arabidopsis thaliana (thale cress). Its description in RNAcentral is "putative long intergenic non-coding RNA". Lineage: Eukaryota; Viridiplantae; Streptophyta; Magnoliopsida; Brassicales; Brassicaceae. The record is from RNAcentral.
UAAUAUUGAUUUUUUUAAUGAAUUAUGUUACUAUUCUGCAUCGUCUCUCCAUUUGAAUCUUGAGAUUGAUUUAAGUGUAUUAAAAUGUGUUUACAUUGGGACCUCAGAUAGAGUAUACUGGAGGGAGCUACUGAUUCAGAAGAUGCUCAUCACAAAGACUUCCUUUACGCUUGUUAGACAAUAGACACCAAUUUUCUUUUCUUUCAGUUUAAUUUUCUUAUUUGUUUGGUUGUCGGAUCAGAUUAAAAGAUACCACGAACUCUCCUAAAAAAACCGGAGUAUACUUUUCAACUGCAAUAGCAGGAGCAGAUUGAUGAUUGUGAAGCAUGAACCCGAGUAUUGGAAAUAUGUAGAGGAAGGAUAAACCUGAGAGAGACACUACUUUGCCAACCGAGAUAUGCCAGAAACUUGAAGACCAUUUGAGCUAGUGAGAUCAAUUAGAGGACCAGAUUCAUCCAAUCAUUGAUAAGUGCCAGUACCAACCUGAUAAACGAGAUACAGCAACAUCUAUGUCAGCCCACAAAGCACGAUGAGUACUUGAUCAGCCUCUUCCACAUCCAGUUUCACGAACCCGGAAAAUCUGCAUCCCAAAACAAAAUAUCGGUGCAUUCAUGCAUACAUCCAUACAUGCAUUCAUGCAUACAUCCAUACAUGCAUUCAUGCAUACAUCCAUACAUGCAUUCAUGCAUACAUCCAUACAUCCAUACAUGCAUUCAUGCAUACAUCCAUACAUGCAUACAUUUUAUACAUUCAUACAUGCAUACACAUGCAUAUAUAUUUGCUUUCUUGAUUUAUUGAUUAGGUCAUUGCUUGCUACUUUAGUACAUUUGUUAAUAACUUGUUCUUGUUUGUUUCUUGUGCUUAUCUCAGUUUGUAACGUGCUUGCUUGUUUCUUGCACUGAUUGCUUACAUGUUUAACUUGUUCACUUUAUUCCUUCUUUGUUUCAUUGAUUAUUUGAUCGUUGCUUGACUUGUUUGUUUGUUUCCUUCUUGGUUCCUUGAUUUACUUUACUUCAUUGGGCAGCCUUCUUCUUGGAUACUCGCUUACUUAGUUGUUUCAAUCAAUUUCUUUACACACUCGUUUGCUUGUUUCCUGAUCCUCUGGUUUUUCUUUUUCUUUUUUACUUUCGUCGUCACUAUUUCUUACAUGAACUUCUCUACUUGUUUCGUUGUUUGCUUACGAUUUUCAUUUGGUUACUCGCUUUCUUUUGCUUUCUUUACUCCUUCCAUAGUUCCAUUGCUUGCUUAGACGUAAUUGUUUAAGAAAAAAUCUCCACAACAUCCUCUUUGUUCUUGCAAACUCCAUUACUUAAUUCCGUUUAUGCGUAUCUUUUAAAAUAUCUACAACUCUUUAGCGAAAUUUUAUAAUCCACACUAUACAAUUUAAUUCGUUUUAUAUAUGACAUGUUUAGCAAAAAAAAAUACCAAUUGCUUUAAUUUGUUUUUUAUCCCCU